AUUGUCCUCUCUCCGUCCGGGAUUACUUGUUGCAAAAAUGGAUGUAUCUAGACGUAUUUUAGUUCUAGAGAUAUCUAUUUUUAUCAAUUCCCGCGACAAGUAAUUCCAGACAGAGUGAGUAUCUG
Triticum aestivum (bread wheat) is the source of this 125-nucleotide non-coding RNA. The record is from Rfam. NCBI's taxonomy places the organism in Eukaryota, Viridiplantae, Streptophyta, Magnoliopsida, Poales, Poaceae.